CCUACGGGAGGCAGCAGUGAGGAAUAUUGGUCAAUGGCCGGAAGGCUGAACCAGCCAAGUCGCGUGAGGGAAUAAGGCCCUAUGGGUCGUAAACCUCUUUUGUCAGGGAGCAAAGGCGUCCACGUGUGGACGAGAGGAGAGUACCUGAAGAAAAGGCAUCGGCUAACUCCGUGCCAGCAGCCGCGGUAAUACGGAGGAUGCGAGCGUUAUCCGGAUUUAUUGGGUUUAAAGGGUGCGUAGGCGGAGUGUCAAGUCAGCGGUAAAAUUUCGGGGCUCAACCCCGUCGUGCCGUUGAAACUGACGCCCUUGAGUGAGUGAGAAGUAAGCGGAAUGCGUGGUGUAGCGGUGAAAUGCUUAGAUAUUGCGCAGAACUCCGAUUGCGAAGGCAGCAUACCGGCGGCGAUCUGACGCUGAGGCACGAAAGCGUGGGUAUCGAACAGGAUUAGAUACCCUUGUAGUC
RNAcentral lists this ribosomal RNA (460 nucleotides) under uncultured bacterium. RNAcentral describes it as "partial 16S ribosomal RNA". It matches the Rfam family "Bacterial small subunit ribosomal RNA", at positions 338 to 795 of the family's 1533-position model. The record is from RNAcentral.